This 373-nucleotide ribosomal RNA is filed under the name Sphingomonas sp. 21R. Its description in RNAcentral is "bacterial SSU rRNA". It matches the Rfam family "Bacterial small subunit ribosomal RNA", at positions 975 to 1349 of the family's 1533-position model. The record is from RNAcentral. Lineage: Bacteria; Pseudomonadati; Pseudomonadota; Alphaproteobacteria; Sphingomonadales; Sphingomonadaceae.
CAGCGUUUGCCAUGGUAGGACGUCUGGCAGAGAUGCCUUUCUUCCCUUCGGGGACCUACACACAGGUGCUGCAUGGCUGUCGUCAGCUCGUGUCGUGAGAUGUUGGGUUAAGUCCCGCAACGAGCGCAACCCUCGACUUUAGUUACCAUCAUUAAGUUGGGUACUUUAAAGUACCCGCCGGUGAUAAGCCGGAGGAAGGUGGGGAUGACGUCAAGUCCUCAUGGCCCUUACGCGCUGGGCUACCCACGUGCUCCAAUGGCAAGUACAGUGGGCAGCAAUCCCCCGAGGGUGAGCUUAUCUCCACUCCUUUCUCAGUUCGGAUUGUUCUCUGCAACUCGAGAGCAUGAAGGCGGAAUCGCUAGUAAUCGCGAUC